Molecule: ribosomal RNA, 451 nt
Filed under: uncultured organism
Description: partial 16S ribosomal RNA
Rfam family: Bacterial small subunit ribosomal RNA
Source: RNAcentral
UACACUCCUGCGGGAGGCAGCAGUGGGGAAUAUUGGACAAUGGGCGCAAGCCUGAUCCAGCCAUGCCGCGUGAGUGAUGAAGGCCCUAGGGUUGUAAAGCUCUUUCACCGGUGAAGAUAAUGACGGUAACCGGAGAAGAAGCCCCGGCUAACUUCGUGCCAGCAGCCGCGGUAAUACGAAGGGGGCUAGCGUUGUUCGGAUUUACUGGGCGUAAAGCGCACGUAGGCGGACUAUUAAGUCAGGGGUGAAAUCCCGGGGCUCAACCCCGGAACUGCCUUUGAUACUGGUAGUCUCGAGUUCGAGAGAGGUGAGUGGAAUUCCGAGUGUAGAGGUGAAAUUCGUAGAUAUUCGGAGGAACACCAGUGGCGAAGGCGGCUCACUGGCUCGAUACUGACGCUGAGGUGCGAAAGCGUGGGGAGCAAACAGGAUUAGAAACCCGAGUAGUCCCAUG